Molecule: non-coding RNA, 71 nt
Organism: Danionella cerebrum
Lineage: Eukaryota; Metazoa; Chordata; Actinopteri; Cypriniformes; Danionidae
Source: the annotation of a GenBank genome assembly
UUUCCUGUGGCUCAGUUGGUAGAGCAUUGCAAAAACAAUGGAAAGCUCAUGGGUUCAAAUCUCAAGGAAAA